This 492-nucleotide ribosomal RNA is filed under the name uncultured bacterium. RNAcentral describes it as "partial 16S ribosomal RNA". It matches the Rfam family "Bacterial small subunit ribosomal RNA", at positions 29 to 507 of the family's 1533-position model. The record is from RNAcentral.
AGUGAACGCUGGCGGUAGGCCUAACACAUGCAAGUCGAACGGCAGCACAGUAAGAGCUUGCUCUUACGGGUGGCGAGUGGCGGACGGGUGAGGAAUACAUCGGUAUCUACUUUUUCGUGGGGGAUAACGUAGGGAAACUUACGCUAAUACCGCAUACGACCUACGGGUGAAAGCAGGGGAUCUUCGGACCUUGCGCGAUUGAAUGAGCCGAUGUCGGAUUAGCUAGUUGGCGGGGUAAAGGCCCACCAAGGCGACGAUCCGUAGCUGGUCUGAGAGGAUGAUCAGCCACACUGGAACUGAGACACGGUCCAGACUCCUACGGGAGGCAGCAGUGGGGAAUAUUGGACAAUGGGCGCAAGCCUGAUCCAGCCAUACCGCGUGGGUGAAGAAGGCCUUCGGGUUGUAAAGCCCUUUUGUUGGGAAAGAAAGGCAGCAGGUUAAUACCCCGCUGUUCUGACGGUACCCAAAGAAUAAGCACCGGCUAACUUCGUG